RNAcentral lists this small RNA (2903 nucleotides) under Pan troglodytes (chimpanzee). RNAcentral's name for it is "retained intron". The record is from RNAcentral. Lineage: Eukaryota; Metazoa; Chordata; Mammalia; Primates; Hominidae.
UUUUUCAAAAAAGCUGCUCAGCGGGGACAAAUACAGGUUCUCGUAAGUAUUAUUCGUCAGUGAAAUCUCCAAGUCAUAAGACGAAGAGGACUUCCUGCCCACUGUAAGAGUCAGAACACCCCACAGGCCUGACUCCCUUCCUGUCUGGCCUGGGUGGCCUUUACAAGUACCCUGUCUAAGCUCGGGAGAGACCCGCCUGUUUCUCAGCUACUCCCUUGAGCCCCUCAGCCAGCCUGGUGUGCGUUUGCGUUUUCAUUUCUGGGAAGCUGCAGCGGCCCCAGUCCUGCCUAGAGAGAAUGAACGUCUUCUGGGCUGGGGUGCCUGGGUGUUCUUGCUGUGAGGGAGCUGCGUGUGAACUCGGCCUGUCCCGACACGGGGGGCCCAGCGUGUUCUGUCACCCACAGGGCCCCGGAGCUGCAGUUCUAUACCAGCGCCGCUGCGGUGGCCAUGCUCGUCCCGGCCCGGGUCUUCUUUACGGACGUCCCAGUGAUCGGGAGGAGCGGGAAGAGCUUCAGCUACAACCAGGACGUGGUGCUGCUGCUUCUGACAGACGGAGUCCUGUUCCACCUUCAGAGCGUCACGGCGUACGCCCUCAUGGGGAAAAUCUCCCCGGUGACUUUCAGCGUCGCCAGCACCGUGAAGCAUGCCUUGUCCAUCUGGCUCAGCGUAAUCGUUUUCGGCAACAAGAUCACCAGCUUGUCGGCCGUUGGCACAGCCCUGGUGACAGUUGGGGUCCUGCUCUACAACAAAGCCAGGCAACACCAGCAGGAGGCGCUGCAGAGCCUGGCUGCAGCCACUGGCCGGGCCCCAGACGACACAGUGGAGCCACUGCUUCCACAGGACCCCAGGCAGCAUCCCUGAGAGCAGGAAGCUGCCAGCUGCUGCUGUCCUCGUGACACUGCAUCCCCCAGAAAUGGGCAGGGACGCCCUCCUUCAUGGCCCUGCUGCGGUGCAGGGCAUGAGGAGCUAAGUUGGCCAUUGCCUGCGGCUUUCUCGGUUUGUCGGUGAAGACCAGCAGAAACUCAAACUGGGGAUUCCAGGUAUCAGCUUCCUGGAGUAGAGACCAGACCAGUAGCUGACUGUGUCCGCCGAGCCCAUCCCCGUGUAAUGUGAAAACAGCCUCUGAGGCUCCCAUGCUGGGGGUGCCCACUUCCUCUCUGGGCGGCACCCCAGGGUCCACCGGGAGCCAGAGGUGGGUCCAGUGCCAACGAGAGCCGCUCCCUGCCACAGCCAAGAGAGCCCUCGGCUUCCCACACCAGCCGUCGAAGGCCCUGAGGCCCUGGACCGGCGGCAGACUGGCCCUGGGCAUGAGGCCACAGAGCAGGGCCGAAGGGAGGGGACAGAGGGCCCUGGAAGGAAGGGUCUCCUGCUGCCACAGUGGGCACUCAGAACUUCUCCCCACCUGACCCAGGGCUGUGGGCAUCCUCAGACUAUCCCAGAGGCAUCGCAAGCCUCAAGCUGCAGCAUUGCACGGCACUCAAGGGCUACGAGCACGGAGGCCGUUCAGUCGCUUCUGUUUAGAGGAAGGCCCUACCUCUUCCACCCUUCCCCACCCUGGGCUGCAUGAGCUCCCCGCAACCCCAGGGCACCCUGCCCUCCUACCUGUGGUGGUUUCCAGCCCUGAGGUUGAGGACAAACCUCUCGUGUUUAACUUGGGAGGAGAUGUGUACGUUCCUUUUCUUUUUUGGACUCUGAGUAUGAGGCAGGCUGUUCUGAGGUCCCCGUGGGGUGAGCCUGUCUGUCCUCCCUCAGAGCCCACUGUUCCUAAUCUCAUCACCUAGCACCUGUCCGGUUCCCCACGUGAGCCUUCAGCAGGACGCUGCAGUGUUGAUGGUUUGGGUUACGUGGCGUUUACCUGGGCGCCGUCCUUGCUGAAAAAGGAAGCGUCCACACUGAAUGUUUCUGGGGCGCGUGGUAUGUGUCAGGCGCCCACCCCGUCCCACUCUCCCCAAGGGACAGUAGUACUGCACACUGGGGCCACCAGCCAGCUCAACUCAUCCUCCUGUGUCACGCACCCCCGAGGGCGCAGGAGGCCUGAGGAGUGGCUACUGGAGCCGUGUGUUAGGCAGAGGCUUCUGACCGUGUCUGAGCUCUUUACCCCCAAUCUCGCAGCCGGCGGAUUCCCAUGCCCGGUGCAGCCUGUUGCCAGCCAGCCUUUGAGACCCAGAGCUCCAGGGCUUGUCAGAGGCAGCUGGGGCUCCAGUGGUCCCCAGUCUCAUUUCCCCACCUGCUCGGCCCCGAGUCUCAUUUCCCCGCCUGCUCGGCCCCGAGUCUCAUUUCCCUGCCUGCUCUUUAGGCCUUUGGCACCCAUGGUCCCUUCACUGGUUUUCCAUUUGGCUUCUCACCCGGGAAAUACAAAAAUAGCCCCUCCUGAAGAUAAAAUCGUUCAGGAACAGAGCAAUAAUUCUGACUCAUUAACUUCUACCUACUCGAAAAAGUCUGCCAUGAUGACGGACCAAAGUGAGGCUUUUUAACCCACAAGUAACCUUUUUAUUUUUUUGAGACAGUCUUGCUCUGUCUGUCACCCAGGCUGGAGUACAGUGCCAUGAUCUUGGCUCACUGCAGCCUCGACUUCCUGGGCUCAAGUGAUCCUCCCACCUCAGCCUCCCAUGUGGCUGGAACCACAGGCACGUGCCACCAUGCCUGGCUAUUUUUUUGUUGAGCUGGGCUCUCGCUUUGUUGCCCAGGCUGGUCUUGAACUCCUCGGCUCAAGCAAUCCUUCCCACUCAGCCUCCCGUAGUGUCAAGAAUAUAGGCGUGGGCUACUACACCUGCUUCAGCCGCUUCUAUAAAACCGCUGACCUGUGUGUGGAGGACAGGCCAGGUGUGUGCUCACUGCGCUGCGAAGAUGUUUUGUCACGUGACUUUCCCUGGGUUUCCAUUUCUUUUUUUCUGCUUUCCUCA